RNAcentral lists this ribosomal RNA (483 nucleotides) under uncultured bacterium. Its description in RNAcentral is "partial 16S ribosomal RNA". It matches the Rfam family "Bacterial small subunit ribosomal RNA", at positions 30 to 506 of the family's 1533-position model. The record is from RNAcentral.
AUUGAACGCUGGCGGCAGGCCUAACACAUGCAAGUCGAGCGGAUGAAGGGAGCUUGCUCCUGGAUUCAGCGGCGGACGGGUGAGUAAUGCCUAGGAAUCUGCCUGGUAGUGGGGGAUAACGUCCGGAAACGGGCGCUAAUACCGCAUACGUCCUGAGGGAGAAAGUGGGGGAUCUUCGGACCUCACGCUAUCAGAUGAGCCUAGGUCGGAUUAGCUAGUUGGUGGGAUAAAGGCCUACCAAGGCGACGAUCCGUAACUGGUCUGAGAGGAUGAUCAGUCACACUGGAACUGAGACACGGUCCAGACUCCUACGGGAGGCAGAAGUGGGAAAUAUUGGACAAUGGGCGAAAGCCUGAUCCAGCCAUGCCGCGUGUGUGAAGAAGGUCUUCGGAUUGUAAAGCACUUUAAGUUGGGAGGAAGGGCAGUAAGUUAAUACCUUGCUGUUUGGACGUUACCAACAGAAUAAGCACCGGCGAACUGCGU